ACUUUUGUCACUGUAACAGGCUCCGCUUAUCUCUUUUUCCGGGAGGCGGAUUAAAAGGGAACCGGGUGAGAAUCCCGGACAGACCACGCUGCUGUGAACUUUUAAACAUUCGGACAAUACCUUGGCCACUGGUUUUGUAAUCGGGAAGGCGUCCUGAAUGGAAGUAAGUCAGAAGACCUGCCGGUUCAUAAAUAAAUGU
Molecule: non-coding RNA, 199 nt
Filed under: Parabacteroides distasonis
Lineage: Bacteria; Pseudomonadati; Bacteroidota; Bacteroidia; Bacteroidales; Tannerellaceae
Also listed under: 1 other name
Source: RNAcentral